UUUCAUGACUUAUUUCCAUCUAAACUUUCAAUCCUCAUCUACUGUCAUUUCCCGCUUCCACUACCUUCUGCUUCUACCCCAAACACAUAAUGACAUUUUAUAAUUCCCUGUCUUUGCACAUAUUGUUCUCUCAAAAAUGUCAUGUCCCAAGCUGGGGUGGUGGCUCAUGCCUGUAAUCCCAGCACUCUGGAGGGCUGAAGUGGGAGGACUGCUUGAGAUCAAGAGUUUUGAGAUCAGCCUGGGCAGCAUAGUGAGACCCUGUCUGUACAAAAAGUAAAAAAAUUUGCUGGGUGUGGUGGCGCACGCUUGUAGUACCAGCUACUUGGGAGGCUGAACCGGGAAGACUGCU
This 349-nucleotide long non-coding RNA is filed under the name Homo sapiens (human). RNAcentral describes it as "non-protein coding lnc-PAX5-6:1". The record is from RNAcentral. Lineage: Eukaryota; Metazoa; Chordata; Mammalia; Primates; Hominidae.